Cebus imitator (Panamanian white-faced capuchin) is the source of this 102-nucleotide unclassified non-coding RNA. It matches the Rfam family "Y RNA". Rfam says of the family: Y RNAs are components of the Ro ribonucleoprotein particle (Ro RNP), in association with Ro60 and La proteins. The Y RNAs and Ro60 and La proteins are well conserved, but the function of the Ro RNP is not known. In humans the RNA component can be one of four small RNAs -- hY1, hY3, hY4 and hY5. NCBI's taxonomy places the organism in Eukaryota, Metazoa, Chordata, Mammalia, Primates, Cebidae. The record is from Ensembl.
GGUCUGUCCGAGUGCAGUGGUGUUCAGAACUAAUUGAUGACAACCAGUUACAGACUUCUUUGUUUUUUCUCCCUUCCCAUUGUUUCAUUUGACUAGUUAAAA